Molecule: non-coding RNA, 26 nt
Filed under: Arabidopsis thaliana (thale cress)
Lineage: Eukaryota; Viridiplantae; Streptophyta; Magnoliopsida; Brassicales; Brassicaceae
Also listed under: 4 other names
Source: RNAcentral
CCCUGUUGAGCUUGACUCUAGUCCGA